AUUGAACGCUGGCGGCAGGCCUAACACAUGCAAGUCGAACGGUAACAGGAAGCAGCUUGCUGUUUCGCUGACGAGUGGCGGACGGGUGAGUAAUGUCUGGGAAACUGCCUGAUGGAGGGGGAUAACUACUGGAAACGGUAGCUAAUACCGCAUAAUGUCGCAAGACCAAAGAGGGGGACCUUCGGGCCUCUUGCCAUCGGAUGUGCCCAGAUGGGAUUAGCUUGUUGGUGGGGUAACGGCUCACCAAGGCGACGAUCCCUAGCUGGUCUGAGAGGAUGACCAGCCACACUGGAACUGAGACACGGUCCAGACUCCUACGGGAGGCAGCAGUGGGGAAUAUUGCACAAUGGGCGCAAGCCUGAUGCAGCCAUGCCGCGUGUAUGAAGAAGGCCUUCGGGUUGUAAAGUACCUUCAGCGGGGAGGAAGGGAGUAAAGUUAAUACCUUUGCUCAUUGACGUUACCCGCAGAAGAAGCACCGGCUAACUCCGUGCCAGCAGCCGCGGUAAUACGGAGGGUGCAAGCGUUAAUCGGAAUUACUGGGCG
RNAcentral lists this ribosomal RNA (543 nucleotides) under uncultured Escherichia sp. Its description in RNAcentral is "bacterial SSU rRNA". It matches the Rfam family "Bacterial small subunit ribosomal RNA", at positions 28 to 560 of the family's 1533-position model. The record is from RNAcentral. Lineage: Bacteria; Pseudomonadati; Pseudomonadota; Gammaproteobacteria; Enterobacterales; Enterobacteriaceae.